Molecule: long non-coding RNA, 474 nt
Organism: Nicotiana tabacum (common tobacco)
Lineage: Eukaryota; Viridiplantae; Streptophyta; Magnoliopsida; Solanales; Solanaceae
Source: RefSeq, a predicted model, not a curated record
CUAAUAGCACUAUAGGGGGGGAUGUCUUCCUCACUGCCUAUACGCCAAGAAGCGAAAUUAACAACAUCAAUUAUAUAUGCAGGACACACAUUUGGAGGAACCUGUAAAGGAAGGCUACUGUAUUAGCCUAUCACCAGAUGAUCUCCGGCGAAUCUACGAUCCUUGGAAAUAUUGAAUCAUCAUCAAGCUCUUAGGUACUUGAUCUCCUAGAAGACAAGGAGAUGGUGAUCCGGCAUAACUUUAGAGAAGGAAAUGAAGUUGCUCACCUGCUAGCCCAGGAAGGAGCCAAACAACCAAUGCACUAUAGUUUAGUCUGUUAUGUUGUAACCUCUACCUUUGUUGAGUCCAGGAGGCUGGAGGACAAGGAGGGUUUUUCUCCAAAAAAUAAAUCUGUUUGUGAAAGUAACUGUAAGAAACUUGCCAAACUUGGUAACCUAAAUGCCUUAUAUGGCCUUUCAUCCUUUUGUAAUGAUC